Molecule: ribosomal RNA, 1177 nt
Filed under: uncultured organism
Description: bacterial SSU rRNA
Rfam family: Bacterial small subunit ribosomal RNA
Source: RNAcentral
AGUGGCGAACGGGUGAGUAACGCGUUGGUGACCUACCCCAAAGAUAGGGAUAACAGUUCGAAAGGACUGCUAAUACCUUAUGUUGUCAUUUUGAUUAGAUGCUAAAUGACUAAAGGAGCUUGCUCCGCUUUGGGAGGGGCCUGCGUCCCAUCAGCUAGCUGGUAGGGUAAUGGCCUACCAAGGCGAUGACGGGUAGGGGACCUGAGAGGGUGGCCCCCCACAAUGGAACUGAAACACGGUCCAUACACCUACGGGUGGCAGCAGUAGGGAAUAUUGGUAAUGUGCGAAAGCGCGAACCAGCAACGCCGCGUGUGCGAAGACGGCCUUCGGGUUGUAAAGCACUUUUCGGGAGGAAGAGGAAGGACUGUACUCCCGGAAUAAGUCUCGGCUAACUACGUGCCAGCAGCCGCGGUAAUACGUAGGAGGCAAACGUUAUCCGGAUUUACUGGGCGUAAAGCGCGUGCAGGCUGUUCAAUAAGUUGGGCGUGAAAGCUCCCGGCUCAACUGGGAGAGGUCGUUCAAUACUGUUGGACUAGAGGAUGGUAGAGGAAGGUGGAAUUCCGGGUGUAGUGGUGAAAUGCGCAGAUAUCCGGAGGAACACCAGUGGCGAAAGCGGCCUUCUGGACCAUUCCUGACGCUCAGACGCGAAAGCUAGGGUAGCGAACGGGAUUAGAGACCCCGGUAGUCCUAGCUGUAAACGAUGUGGACUUGGCGUCGGUGGGAUUAAAUCCAUCGGUGUCGUAGCUAACGCGAUAAGUUCACCGCCUGAGGACUACGGCCGCAAGGUUAAAACUCAAAGGAAUUGACGGGGACCCGCACAAGCAGCGGAGCGUGUGGUUUAAUUCGUUGCUACACGAAGAACCUUACCUGGGUUUGACAUAUAGGUUGUAGGGAACUGAAAAGGGACCGACCCUUCGGGGAGCCUAUACAGGUGUUGCAUGGCUGUCGUCAGCUCGUGUCGUGAGAUGUUCGGUUAAGUCCGCUAACGAGCGCAACCCUCGCCGUAUGUUAUACGUGUCAUACGGGACUGCCGGUAAUAAGCCGGAGGAAGGUGGGGAUGAUGUCAAGUCAGCAUGACCUUUAUAUCCAGGGCUACACACACGCUACAAUGGUCUGUACAAUGGGUAGCCAAGCCGCGAGGCGGAGCCAAUCCUGAAAGCAGGCCUCAGUUCAGAUU